This 137-nucleotide ribosomal RNA is filed under the name uncultured eukaryote. RNAcentral's name for it is "partial 18S ribosomal RNA". It matches the Rfam family "Eukaryotic small subunit ribosomal RNA", at positions 1299 to 1458 of the family's 1831-position model. The record is from RNAcentral.
UGGUGGAGUGAUUUGUCUGCUUAAUUGCGGUAACGAACGAGACCUUAACCUGCUAAAUAGCCCGACCCGCUUUGGCGGGCCGCCGGCUUCUUAGAGGGACUAUCGGCUCAAGCCGAUGGAAGUUUGAGGCAAUAACA